CUCCCUCCACCUCAACCCGUGCGGGCUGAGCACCGGGUACAGCUUGAAGCUCUUCCUCUCUCCUACUCGCCGCCGUCCCCUCUUCCAAGGGCAGGCGCUGUGGCGGGCGGGGAGUAUCGGCGUUUGCAGGGAAGAGGCUGUAGAGGAGGAAGAGGCUGCCAAACACACUAGGUCAACAGUGAAAAGAGAAACAAAAGUAAUCUCUGCUGCGCUUUUACUGUCUCCCAAAAUGAAGAAAGUGGAUGAGGAUUAAGCCCUGAUCUACCUCUCUGAUGUUGGAUUUCCCCAUCAGCUGUCCUGGUCCCACACCAAGCACCCUAGCUGAAAAAAAAUUACAGAUCAGAGGUGUUUAAAAGGGCCUCAGGCAUUAUUAUUUAGCCAGUCUUAGUCUAUCCAUUGCUGCUAAAUCACCUAUUUUGACAAAUAGGGAAUAUCCACUGCAGAAAUAGUCUAACUGUAUACUGACGUACGAUUUCUUUCUUUCUCCCAUUAGUGUCUUCUGUGGUGCGCAUGUGAAUUGUGAAUAUGGAAUCUGCUACUCAGAAGGAUUCAUAUGGUCAAGUUUUCUGUCUGUUUACUUGCUUGAAUAAAUGUUCUCAAUUUAACACAACAAUUUAUAAUGAAUAUUGUGAAACAAAGUUAAAAGAAUGAGUUCUUGAAAUAGAAAUUGUAAUAAAAUGCUUUUCUCCUCUCCAAAAUAUUUAUUUUAACAUGUGGUUACAUUUUCCUACAUUUUCACAUUAAUUGAAAUCUUAUUGUUCUAGAAAAAUAAAUCUUUUUAUCCCCUUCAUCUAGUUUCCCAGCUCUUACGCAAAUUAGAGAAUACACACACUGGCAUAAUUUGUGGUUUUACAAUGAGAAAGACUGUGUAAAUCCAUGAUAUAUUUGAACCGCAUCGUGCCAAGUAGUGCUCUCACGUAGCCUGUUUUAUAAUUUACCUUUUCACUUCAGCAAAACACCAGCAGUUUUGUGUGAUAAUCCUUUGAUUACCAAGACUUCUAAAAUGUUCUAAACAUCGUUCACCUCCCUCAUUUCUUACAAACUAAUGUUAAUGUUCAAGAAGGAGUUUGUGAGGCUCAGAAAUGUCCACUGAAGCUCCAGAUACUGGAAACAGUCUACAGACAACACAUCCUUUCUAUUUUUUUUUUGAAAUCACCAGGAUAACUAAUUUAUUUUAAAGGAGGCAGGUGCAGGGGGGCACAGAGUACACCCCAGCG
Long non-coding RNA from Pezoporus flaviventris, 1217 nucleotides. RefSeq lists it as uncharacterized. NCBI's taxonomy places the organism in Eukaryota, Metazoa, Chordata, Aves, Psittaciformes, Psittacidae. The transcript has 3 exons. The record is from RefSeq and is a predicted model, not a curated record.